UCCUCCCUAAUCUAAAUCGCCGAACCCGAUUUCCUUCUCCCCUCUCUUCUCCCCGAUCUCCCCUCUUCCUCUCUCUGUUCUCUCGCGGACAAGCAAUGCCGACGGAAGCCAGGCUCCAGCUCCGGCAAUCUUUCUCCACCGACAUCGACGCCCAUUGAGCUCAGGUCCGACCGGUGUCUUCCUCUCGGGGCCGCUUCACAACAUCGCGUCUUCUCACGCCUACCUGCCGACGCCACUGGAUCGAGCGAGAUCCACCCGAUCGCUGGUGGGGGUUUUCUUCCGGAGGUUCGAGAGAGGGGCUGGCUUCACCCGAGCCUUUCUCCUUGUGCAACUGUGCCCUAGGUCUCUUCGGUUGGCUCCGAUCAGAUGUCGCGGCAACAGAGCCGUGCCCUAGCAACGAUCCUUAAGGUCACGGAUUGGGCAAUUUCUUUUAGAGACAACCGAUUGAGUGAGGUUAUGUGCUCCUGCGGUGGAUCUGGAAUUGGGUUCUAUGGCAGCUUGGUUUCCAGCAGUGUUCUGUGAGGUUGCUUAUUUUUGGUUCGGCAGCUAUAAUCCCUGCUGUGGAUCAACCGAUUAGAGCAAGGAAUUGAGGAUUCUGAUUCGAGACAGGCGUCUCGAAGUUGACAUUGGAUUAGGACUGGAUUGUACCUU
Molecule: long non-coding RNA, 651 nt
Organism: Zingiber officinale
Lineage: Eukaryota; Viridiplantae; Streptophyta; Magnoliopsida; Zingiberales; Zingiberaceae
Exons: 4
Source: RefSeq, a predicted model, not a curated record